UGGUACAGUGAACAUGGCUUCAUGAUGUGGUGGUGUUAUGCAGCUCAUAGGUAGUCGGUGUUCUUAAAGACAGUUGUGUCAUGCCGUGCGGGCCUCGCAGUGCUGUGCCGCUGCAGCCUGCUUAACAUAACGUCACAUCUCCGGCAUCUACUCCGUACAGUCACUGCUGACAUGGAUAACAUUGCCCGCUGUACACACCCACUGAAGACAGGGCAAAUAUAUUGUAUUACGGUGCACCGCCUUGCUGCCGAAUUUGGGGUAUGCUUUCGCUCAUGAGCAUCCAAAACUCGGAACGCUGUGACAGUCGAUGGCGAAGUGCUAGGUGCGGAAACCACGAGUGACGUGUUCGAAGCGUCACAAAGCGAAGUGUGCCACAGUACGUGACUAUGGACAAAUUGACAGUGAUCUCGGGCACGUUGUUUUUCCUUGCCAACAUCUUUGCCAUCUUGAGUCUUGUGCUUCCCGACUGGAUCGUCUCCGACGUUGGUGGUGACACACGACUUGGGCUACUACAGACAUGCACCACGCUGCAGGGUCGGCCACCAACCUGCUUCCCUCCACGCCUGCAGCCGGAGUGGCUGCUGGCUCUUGUUUGCAUUGUACUGGGCUGUGUGUGCAUCACAGCUACCACAGUGCUACUUGGAUUGUCACGCUGGAAUGGCCGUGUUGUUCCAUAUGCACGAUGGAUGGGUUUCUCUGCUAUGCUUCUGUUCUGCCUGGCCGCUGUAAUCUUCCCGGUGGGCUUCAGCAUGGAUGAAAUCGGGGGAGAACCAUACCAGCUGCCCAGCAGCCACCAAGUGGGCCUCUCAUAUAUAUUCUUUGUGCUUGCACUCUGGAUCACAGUCAUCUCUGAGCUCUUUGCUGGCAAGGUCUGCAUGCCCCAUUUCUGAGCAGGCAAGCUCUGGUUUGACCUCAAUCCAAUGACAUAUAAAGGAGGCCAAGUGUAGGACCAGUAUGGUAAUCCUAAGGGACUUCAGAUUGCAUCAGCCACAGCGGCCAGUCGACGCGCUAGGAGAGCCGUGGGACGCCGUUUCCUGCAGCGAAGCUGUCGAGUGAAUUAUCCGAAGCUAUCGGCCCAGCGUCUCGUCGUUAUAGAGCGAGGCAGCGCGGGGCAGAGCGGGGCAGACAACGGGUCACGCGCGCGUUAUGAUCGAUCCCUGAAAACGAUCAACUCCCAGUGCGGCACCACUGCUCCGACGUGACUGCUGAACUCUGGUGGGAUGGGAAUGCAAAUACUGCCGCCUUUCCAAUGAAAAAAAAUAUGAGAAAAAUAAAGGUCCCUGUUGUGCCUA
RNAcentral lists this unclassified non-coding RNA (1292 nucleotides) under Dermacentor andersoni. RNAcentral's name for it is "uncharacterized protein C16orf52 homolog B-like". Lineage: Eukaryota; Metazoa; Arthropoda; Arachnida; Ixodida; Ixodidae. The record is from RNAcentral.